CACUCCCGCCGGUGGCCGAGGCCGCGGCAGUGGCGGCGGCGGCCGUGGUCAGAUCUUUACUCCCGGCCAGUUCUCCUUCGCUGCCGACACACCCGCUGCAGACGAGGAGAAACGUCAAUCCGCCAAGACUGAACAACCGCCGGUGGCUGGACUAGGUCACGGCCGCGGCAAACCUCUUCCGGAGUUCUCUUCCUUCAUCUCUACCCUAAAACGCACGGCCGAUCC
This 225-nucleotide long non-coding RNA is filed under the name Linum usitatissimum (flax). RNAcentral describes it as "long non-coding RNA (LUSI_LNC000282)". The record is from RNAcentral. Lineage: Eukaryota; Viridiplantae; Streptophyta; Magnoliopsida; Malpighiales; Linaceae.